RNAcentral lists this transfer RNA (84 nucleotides) under Ethanoligenens harbinense YUAN-3. It matches the Rfam family "tRNA". Rfam says of the family: Transfer RNA (tRNA) molecules are approximately 80 nucleotides in length. Their secondary structure includes four short double-helical elements and three loops (D, anti-codon, and T loops). The record is from Rfam by way of RNAcentral. Lineage: Bacteria; Bacillati; Bacillota; Clostridia; Eubacteriales; Oscillospiraceae.
GCGGAUAUGGCGGAACUGGUAGACGCGCUAGAUUCAGGUUCUAGUGGCUUCACGGCCUUGCAGGUUCAAGUCCUGUUAUCCGCA